This 83-nucleotide small nucleolar RNA is filed under the name Plasmodium gonderi. RNAcentral's name for it is "small nucleolar RNA snoR24". It matches the Rfam family "small nucleolar RNA snoR24". Lineage: Eukaryota; Apicomplexa; Aconoidasida; Haemosporida; Plasmodiidae. The record is from Rfam by way of RNAcentral.
AUUUAAUGAUGACAAGUAAUAAUUUUGGGUAAUUUACGUCUGAAAAUGAUUGAUGAAAAAAUUCCAGACUAGAUCUGACAAAU